Molecule: ribosomal RNA, 465 nt
Filed under: uncultured bacterium
Lineage: Bacteria
Description: partial 16S ribosomal RNA
Rfam family: Bacterial small subunit ribosomal RNA
Source: RNAcentral
ACGCACGCUGGCGGCGCGCCUAACCCAUGCAAGUCGAACGAGCGAGAGAGAGCUUGCUUUCUCAAGCGAGUGGCGAACGGGUGAGUAACGCGUGAGGAACCUGCCUCAAAGAGGGGGACAACAGUUGGAAACGACUGCUAAUACCGCAUAAGCCCACAGGUCGGCAUCGACCAGAGGGAAAAGGAGCAAUCCGCUUUGAGAUGGCCUCGCGUCCGAUUAGCUAGUUGGUGAGGUAACGGCCCACCAAGGCAACGAUCGGUAGCCGGACUGAGAGGUUGAACGGCCACAUUGGGACCGAGACACGGCCCAGACUCCUACGGGAGGCAGCAGUGGGGAAUAUUGCACAAUGGGGGAAACCCUGAUGCAGCGACGCCGCGUGGAGGAAGAAGGUCUUCGGAUUGUAAACUCCUGUUGUUGAGGAAGAUAAUGACGGUACUCAACAAGGAAGUGACGGCUAACUACGUG